GUCACUAUAUAUAUAUAAAUCCGAAGCCCUAGCAUCCGGAACGUCGUCGAUCUCGUCACCCGCCUCGUUCGCCAGACCAUUGUUGUUCUUUGGUGGAUCGAUUAGCAGUUCUUCAACAUGAGGGCUAAGUGGAAGAAGAAGAGAAUGAGGAGAUUGAAGAGGAAGCGCCGAAAGAUGAGGCAGAGAUCCAAGUAGUUUUGUGUUUUCUUUAAAUAAAAAAGAGAAUCGUUCUUUUAGUUGUUACUGAUCUAGGACGAGUAAUAGUUGAAUUUCUUGUGUUUUUGUUGGAUUUUUAUCGCUUUUUUUUUUUUAGUUUCAAUGAGUAAUUUUGUUUGACUUACUUCCCACUGGGAUCUACAUUAUUGAAUUGAGUCUGGAGUUUUUGAAA
This is a long non-coding RNA of Benincasa hispida (wax gourd), 388 nucleotides long. RefSeq lists it as uncharacterized. NCBI's taxonomy places the organism in Eukaryota, Viridiplantae, Streptophyta, Magnoliopsida, Cucurbitales, Cucurbitaceae. The record is from RefSeq and is a predicted model, not a curated record.